UGCCAUUGUUACCAGAUCACCUCUUUCUUCUGCAAAUCACCCUCUUCAACAUCCUCUCAUCCUCCUCCUCACUCACCAUCCUCUAUUUCUAACCCUAAACAUACAAAAAUGGCCCCUGCCACAUUCUUCUUCUACCUGCAACAAAACAUGGCUCCUUCUCUUUCUUUAUCUACUGUCUCUGUCUCUCUCUCUCUCUGUGUUUCUCUGGGAUGAACGAGGAAGACGAAGACGACAGCGGCGAAGACAUCGCUCCCGCCAUCGCACCUCGCGUCCGAAUCCAUCAUUGGGAAACCCUAGGGUUCCGACGGUUGUUGUGACCAAGAACCAGGCGCUGGCAAAAAUAGAAACAGAACCCCUAGGGUUUCGACGAGGACGAACUCCGGCAGUCGGACUCUGGCCGUCACGGUGAUUUGGAUUCGGUCUGAGAUAAUUAUAAUUUGUUUGCUACAGAUGAUAUGAUUUGGUGGAGAGUUGCAACAUAAUGCCACAAGAAAAAGAAAUUAACUUGACGCCUUGACGGUAACUUUUGUUUUUGUUUGUUUUUUUACCUUAUGUGAUGGAAUCAUGUAUUUAUACCUUGAACAUGAAACCAAAGCCAUGAACUAUUGACGGUAACUUUUGUUUUUUUUACCUUGAACAUGUAUUUUUACCUUACUGGUUACUACAAAACUAGAACUACAAAACUGCCCAGACCUACACAGAGGCAUUCAAAUUUAUAUGAAGUAUCAUAUAGUGUUUGUUGGGGAACAUUUAAAAGUAGUGAGUGUUUACAUAAUUACAUAGCAUUUGCAUUUGUUUGUUUGAUCUCUUUAGUUUCUUAGUCACAUGAACUAUUGUCACCGGCUGUAGGUGGCAAAAAUGCAAAUGCUAUGUAAUUAUGUAAACACUCACUACUUUUAAAUGUUCCCCAACAAACACUAUAUGAUACUUCAUAUAAAUUUGAAUGCCUCUGUGUAGGUCUGGGCAGAGUUGAGGUUUUUUGUUGUUGGCGCAUAUGGUUAUGUGAUUGACUUUGCUUUCACUUGGCAGCUGGUGAGUAUGCAGCCAUGGCGGGUUAUUCUCUGUGUUUGAAAAUGAGAUGGUCAUGUGCAUUGGCGAAGCCACGCCCCCCCCCCCUCAUUUUCCCUAAACCCGGAGGGGAGGGGACGUAUAUAGCUAUACGUAAGUAUAAUACUACGCAUCGAAAAGUCCGGGGGGAGGGGGCGGGCGUCCCCCGGAGAUACACUAUCCUGCGCCCCUGGUCAUGUGAAUGACUUUGCUUUCACAUGGCAACUGGUUAGUGUCGGAUCUAUUCACUUUAACUCAUAUGUGGCCGUAUGUUUGUAGUUUGUAAACAGUUCAUUGUCAUUGAUUGUCCUUGAUUUUUAUUGGAAGUGGCUAUGAUGAUGAGUUUAAAUUUGAGCAAAGAUGGGACUUUUGUGUGUCCUGGCGGGGCAACCGAGAUGGUCAUGAGAUUGACUUUGCUUUCCCUUCCCGUGGCAACCAGUCAGUGUGCAGCCAUGACAUAUCUAUUCUCUUUCUUUGAUUGUUUACAUAUAUGAGCCUUAUUAUUCUUUCAUCGUGUUUUUUAAUCUUUCUUCAUUACACAAUAUUACUAAGUUUGAUUUCUGAUCAAUGAUGGAUGCUUGCGAGUUUUGAUCACUCAAUAAAUACAACGAUGUAUGAUAAUCAACUUUUAAGCUCCGUAGCUGUACUGACCAGCAACAUUCUUUCAAGUAUGUCAGAAGAAGCUAGAAAUGCCAGCAUAAUUGUUUUUGAUGUUG
Molecule: long non-coding RNA, 1763 nt
Organism: Helianthus annuus (common sunflower)
Lineage: Eukaryota; Viridiplantae; Streptophyta; Magnoliopsida; Asterales; Asteraceae
Exons: 2
Source: RefSeq, a predicted model, not a curated record